AACGAACGCUGGCGGCAUGCCUAACACAUGCAAGUCGAACGAGACCUUCGGGUCUAGUGGCGCACGGGUGCGUAACGCGUGGGAACCUGCCCUUAGGUUCGGAAUAACUCCCCGAAAGGGGUGCUAAUACCGGAUAAUGUCUUCGGACCAAAGAUUUAUCGCCUUUGGAUGGGCCCGCGUUGGAUUAGCUAGUUGGUAGGGUAAAAGCCUACCAAGGCGACGAUCCAUAGCUGGUCUGAGAGGAUGAUCCGCUACACUGGGACUGAGACACGGCCCAGACUCCUACGGGAGGCAGCAGUGGGGAAUAUUGGACAAUGGGCGAAAGCCUGAUCCAGCAAUGCCGCGUGAGUGAUGAAGGCCUUAGGGUUGUAAAGCUCUUUUACCCGGGAUGAUAAUGACAGUACCGGGAGAAUAAGCUCCGGCUAACUCCGUG
Molecule: ribosomal RNA, 433 nt
Filed under: uncultured bacterium
Lineage: Bacteria
Description: partial 16S ribosomal RNA
Rfam family: Bacterial small subunit ribosomal RNA
Source: RNAcentral